Long non-coding RNA from Ornithodoros turicata, 282 nucleotides. RefSeq lists it as uncharacterized. The record is from RefSeq and is a predicted model, not a curated record. NCBI's taxonomy places the organism in Eukaryota, Metazoa, Arthropoda, Arachnida, Ixodida, Argasidae. The transcript has 3 exons.
CUGGAGCCCGCUCGCAUUUCAACAAUACAGUCACAACAUGAACAGCGUGCACAUCGAACAGAAAUCUUCGCAAGAGAUGCCGUGGAUGACUGCGUAAACGACGACAACGACGGUGUGACGAGCCUACGAGCACGCCACUGGAGCCCGCUGGUGCACAUCGAACAGAAAUCUUCGCAAGAGAUGCCGUGGAUGACUGCGUAAACGACGACAACGACGGUGUGACGAGCCUACGAGCACGCCACUGGAGCCCGCUGGUAUUUCAACAAUACAGUCACAACAUCA